Molecule: ribosomal RNA, 291 nt
Filed under: uncultured eukaryote
Lineage: Eukaryota
Description: partial 18S ribosomal RNA
Rfam family: Eukaryotic small subunit ribosomal RNA
Source: RNAcentral
GGUUGAUCCUGCCAGUAGUCAUAUGCUUGUCUCAAAGAUUAAGCCAUGCAUGUCUAAGUAUAAACAAAUUUGUACUGUGAAACUGCGAAUGGCUCAUUAAAUCAGUUAUAGUUUAUUUGAUGGUGCUUUGCUACAUGGAUAACUGUGGUAAUUCUAGAGCUAAUACAUGCAAUCAAGCCCCGUCAGGGGUGUAUUUAUUAGAUAAAAAACCAACGCGGCUCGCCGCUCCUUGGUGAUUCAUAAUAACUUCUCGAAUCGCAUGGCCUUGUGCUGGCGAUGCUUCAUUCAAAU